CAGGGGGCCCAAAACUGAUCCCCGCGGGAUUCCAGACUGAACUUCUCAUGAGACAGAUUUUGCGUCACCAGCAACGACUGCCUGUCGCCUUCCCGUAAGUUUCCCUCUAUGGUCCUUCGAUGAAAACAUGUCCAGUUCUCAGCGCGUCGUGAGCUGUGAGCGACGCCACCGUUAGCACACAGGUUCUCACGAGCGGCCGUUCUGAAAGGAGAGGCCGGCCCCAGGAAGUGUCGCCAGGCCACGUCCUGCGAGAGAGACGAUCACAGCGACAGCGGUGCGCGCUUUCGCCGCUGUUGUCGCGCCGACCUCUUGGUGUCUCCGACAAGGGACGUCUCCUAUUUCCGGCAACGCUCAACUCGUAUUCGGAACGAUUCACGACCACGCAGGAAACGAGGGGGACCUGGAAAGGGGCAUUCCAUGCUAUGUGUCACGUUUGUUUUGCUCAGGAGUGGAGACACCACGAGCGUCCCUUACGCGCAGUGUUAGUGCAUCCUCACCGUUAUCACAUCGCUGCCCGCGAGUGCCGAUGGACUGAAACGUCAGGAUCCCUAUAACGUCAAGGUGCACUCUGAACUGGGUAACCCAGGUGCACAUUUUCACAACUUUACGCUACUGCUGCUGUGUGAUGUUAAAUAAAGCUAACAAUCGCGUGGACUUUGA
Dermacentor andersoni is the source of this 660-nucleotide non-coding RNA. The record is from RefSeq and is a predicted model, not a curated record. NCBI's taxonomy places the organism in Eukaryota, Metazoa, Arthropoda, Arachnida, Ixodida, Ixodidae.